GCCAGACUCCUACGGGAGGCAGCAGUGGGGGAUAUUGCACAAUGGGGGGAACCCUGAUGCAGCGACGCCGCGUGGGUGAAGGAGCGUUUCGGCGCGUAAAGCCCUAUCGGCAGGGAAGAAGGAGGACGGUACCUGACUAAGAAGCCCCGGCUAACUACGUGCCAGCAGCCGCGGUAAUACGUAGGGGGCAAGCGUUAUCCGGAUUCACUGGGUGUAAAGGGAGCGUAGACGGCGACGCAAGUCUGGAGUGAAAGCCCGGGGUCCAACCCCGGGACUGCUCUGGAAACUGCGUCGCUGGAGUACGGGAGGGGCAGGCGGAAUUCCUGGUGUAGCGGUGAAAUGCGUAGAUAUCAGGAGGAACACCGGCGGCGAAGGCGGCUUGCUGGACGAUGACUGACGUUGAGGCUCGAAAGCGUGGGGAGCAAACAGGAUUAGAUACCCUUGUA
This 446-nucleotide ribosomal RNA is filed under the name uncultured bacterium. RNAcentral describes it as "bacterial SSU rRNA". It matches the Rfam family "Bacterial small subunit ribosomal RNA", at positions 330 to 792 of the family's 1533-position model. The record is from RNAcentral.